Molecule: ribosomal RNA, 557 nt
Filed under: uncultured Eubacteriales bacterium
Lineage: Bacteria; Bacillati; Bacillota; Clostridia; Eubacteriales
Description: bacterial SSU rRNA
Rfam family: Bacterial small subunit ribosomal RNA
Source: RNAcentral
GAGUUUGAUCAUGGCUCAGGACGAACGCUGGCGGCGUGCCUAACACAUGCAAGUCGAACGGGGUACCUCAAAAUAAGUUUUCGGACAAGUGGAGAGGCUACCUAGUGGCGGACGGGUGAGUAAUGCGUGGGCAACCUGCCCUCAAGUGGGGGACAACAGUUGGAAACGACUGCUAAUACCGCAUAAUGUACAGAGAUGGCAUCAUCACUGUACCAAAGAUUUAUCGCUUGAGGAUGGGCCCACGUCUGAUUAGUUUGUUGGUGAGGUAACGGCUCACCAAGACUGCGAUCAGUAGCCGGACUGAGAGGUUGAACGGCCACAUUGGGACUGAGAUACGGCCCAGACUCCUACGGGAGGCAGCAGUGGGGAAUAUUGGUCAAUGGGGGAAACCCUGAACCAGCAACGCCGCGUGAAGGAAGAAGGCUUUCGGGUUGUAAACUUCUUUUACCAGGGAAGAAACAAAUGACGGUACCUGGAGAAUAAGCCACGGCUAACUACGUGCCAGCAGCCGCGGUAAUACGUAGGUGGCAAGCGUUGUCCGGAUUUACUGGGUGUAA